Branchiostoma floridae (Florida lancelet) is the source of this 433-nucleotide long non-coding RNA. RefSeq lists it as uncharacterized. Lineage: Eukaryota; Metazoa; Chordata; Leptocardii; Amphioxiformes; Branchiostomatidae. The transcript has 3 exons. The record is from RefSeq and is a predicted model, not a curated record.
GUCUCACCUUACCUGAAGUGCAGACUUAGAGUGAAACGUUGUUUGUUGUCGGUUCUCUGUCCGCUUUCAUCAAACCGGACUGUUCCCAGCCUUCGUAUGGGACAAACGUCAAGCUGAUAGGCUGUAAGUGGCCAUACGACAAGGGAGAGACUUGCGAGUUCAAGUGGCGGCACCACUACACGUGGAAGUCUGGUGAUACCAUCAGGACCUGUAACGGCGGCCCUACGUUCGAUAAACAUUGGUCUGGAGAACCGAUGUACUGCAAGAAAAUUGUAGACAACGGCCGAUGCUUGAGAUUAGGAUCCGAUUUAACACCUUCCCUGUACAACAUCUUGCGAGAAGGAUGUGAGCCGCCUUACAGCAACGGAGACACCUGCACCUUCACAUACAAUGACGGUUACAUUAGAGUGACCGGACACUACAACAUCACCUG